RNAcentral lists this ribosomal RNA (451 nucleotides) under uncultured bacterium. RNAcentral's name for it is "SSU rRNA". It matches the Rfam family "Bacterial small subunit ribosomal RNA", at positions 26 to 523 of the family's 1533-position model. The record is from RNAcentral.
AGAGCGAACGCUGGCGGCAUGCUUAACACAUGCAAGUCUCACGGGCAGCAAUGUCAGUGGCGGACGGGUGAGUAACGCGUAGGUAUCUAUCCAUGGGUGGGGGAUAACGUCGGGAAACUGACGCUAAUACCGCAUGACAUCUGAGGAUCAAAGGCGCGAGUCGCCUGUGGAGGAGCCUGCGUACGAUUAGCUAGUUGGUGGGGUAAAGGCCUACCAAGGCGACGAUCGUUAGCUGGUCUGAGAGGAUGAUCAGCCACACUGGGACUGAGACACGGCCCAGACUCCUACGGGAGGCAGCAGUGGGGAAUAUUGGACAAUGGGCGAAAGCCUGAUCCAGCAAUGCCGCGUGUGUGAAGAAGGUCUUCGGAUUGUAAAGCACUUUCGGCGGGGACGAUGAUGACGGUACCCGCAGAAGAACGCCCGGCUAACUUCGCGCCAGCAGCCGCGGUAA